UGUGUAGGCGGCUCUCUAAGUUUGGUGUGAAAUCUCCCGGCUCAACCGGGAGGGUGCGCCGAAGACUGGAGGGCUAGAGUGCGGGAUGGGAGAGUAGAAUUCCUGGUGUAGCGGUGAAAUGCGUAGAUAUCAGGAGGAAUACCGGUGGUGUAGACGGCUCUCUGGACCGCAACUGACGCUGAAACACGAAAGCGUGGGUAGCAAACAGGAUUAGAUACCCUGGUAGUCCACGCCCUAAACGAUGCAUAUUUGGUGUAGGUCAUUCAGUUGAUCUGUGCCGGAGCUAACGCGUUAAAUAUGCCGCCUGGGGAGUACAGUCGCAAGGCUGAA
Molecule: ribosomal RNA, 330 nt
Filed under: uncultured bacterium
Lineage: Bacteria
Description: bacterial SSU rRNA
Rfam family: Bacterial small subunit ribosomal RNA
Source: RNAcentral